RNAcentral lists this ribosomal RNA (653 nucleotides) under Salmonella enterica subsp. enterica serovar Indiana. RNAcentral describes it as "partial 23S ribosomal RNA". It matches the Rfam family "Bacterial large subunit ribosomal RNA", at positions 545 to 1199 of the family's 2925-position model. Lineage: Bacteria; Pseudomonadati; Pseudomonadota; Gammaproteobacteria; Enterobacterales; Enterobacteriaceae. The record is from RNAcentral.
AGAACCUGAAACCGUGUACGUACAAGCAGUGGGAGCACCCUUCGGGGUGUGACUGCGUACCUUUUGUAUAAUGGGUCAGCGACUUAUAUUCUGUAGCAAGGUUAACCGAAUAGGGGAGCCGGAGGGAAACCGAGUCUUAAUUGGGCGUUAAGUUGCAGGGUAUAGACCCGAAACCCGGUGAUCUAGCCAUGGGCAGGUUGAAGGUUGGGUAACACUAACUGGAGGACCGAACCGACUAAUGUUGAAAAAUUAGCGGAUGACCUGUGGCUGGGGGUGAAAGGCCAAUCAAACCGGGAGAUAGCUGGUUCUCCCCGAAAGCUAUUUAGGUAGCGCCUCGUGAAUUCAUCUCCGGGGGUAGAGCACUGUUUCGGCUAGGGGGCCAUCCCGGCUUACCAACCCGAUGCAAACUGCGAAUACCGGAGAAUGUUAUCACGGGAGACACACGGCGGGUGCUAACGUCCGUCGUGAAGAGGGAAACAACCCAGACCGCCAGCUAAGGUCCCAAAGUCAUGGUUAAGUGGGAAACGAUGUGGGAAGGCCCAGACAGCCAGGAUGUUGGCUUAGAAGCAGCCAUCAUUUAAAGAAAGCGUAAUAGCUCACUGGUCGAGUCGGCCUGCGCGGAAGAUGUAACGGGGCUAAACCAUGCACCGAAG